AUUGAACGCUGGCGGCAGGCUUAACACAUGAAAGCCGGCCGAGGGGGGGACGGGUGAGUAAUGUAGGGGAAACUGCCGGCGGGAGGGGGAUACCAACUGGAACCGGAAGCUAAUACCGCAUACAAUCGGAUGUGCCCAGAUGGGAUUAGCUAGUAGGUGGGGUAAGGGCUACCCUAGGCGACGAUCCCUAGCUGGUCUGAGAGGAUGACCAGCCACACUGGAACUGAGACACGGUCCAGACUCCUACGGGAGGCAGCAGUGGGGAAUAUUGCACAAUGGGCGCAAGCCUGAUGCAGCCAUGCCGCGUGUGUGAAGAAGGCCUUCGGGUUGUAAAGCACUUUCAGCGAGGAGGCGUUACUCGCAGAAGAAGCACCGGCUAACUCCGUGCCAGCAGCCGCGGUAAUAC
Molecule: ribosomal RNA, 406 nt
Filed under: uncultured bacterium
Lineage: Bacteria
Description: partial 16S ribosomal RNA
Rfam family: Bacterial small subunit ribosomal RNA
Source: RNAcentral